CGAGCGAGUGGCGAACGGGUUGAGUAACGCGUGAGGAACCUGCCUCAAAGAGGGGGACAACAGUUGGAAACGACUGCUAAUACCGCAUAAGCCCACGGUGCCGCAUGGCACAGAGGGAAAAGGAGCAAUCCGCUUUGAGAUGGCCUCGCGUCCGAUUAGCUAGUUGGUGAGGUUAAACGGGCCCACCAAGGCGACGAUCGGUAGCCGGACUGAGAGGUUGAACGGCCACAUUGGGACUGAGACACGGCCCCAGACUCCUACGGGAGGCAGCAGUGGGGAAUAUUGUACAAUGGGGAAACCCUGAUGCAGCGACGCCGCGUGGAGGAAGACGGUUUUCGGAUUGUAAACUCCUGUUCUUAGUGAAGAAUAAUGACGGUAGCUAAGGAGCAAGCCACGGCUAACUACGUG
RNAcentral lists this ribosomal RNA (408 nucleotides) under uncultured bacterium. Its description in RNAcentral is "bacterial SSU rRNA". It matches the Rfam family "Bacterial small subunit ribosomal RNA", at positions 88 to 507 of the family's 1533-position model. The record is from RNAcentral.